This 850-nucleotide ribosomal RNA is filed under the name uncultured bacterium. Its description in RNAcentral is "bacterial SSU rRNA". It matches the Rfam family "Bacterial small subunit ribosomal RNA", at positions 56 to 918 of the family's 1533-position model. The record is from RNAcentral.
UGCAAGUCGAACGAUGACCCCGUGCUUGCACGGGUGAUUAGUGGCGAACGGGUGAGUAACACGUGAGUAACCUGCCCCUGACUCUGGGAUAAGCCCGGGAAACUGGGUCUAAUACUGGAUAUGACCUUUAACCGCAUGGUUUUUGGUGGAAAGAUUUAUCGGUUGGGGAUGGACUCGCGGCCUAUCAGCUUGUUGGUGAGGUAAUGGCUCACCAAGGCGACGACGGGUAGCCGGCCUGAGAGGGUGACCGGCCACACUGGGACUGAGACACGGCCCAGACUCCUACGGGAGGCAGCAGUGGGGAAUAUUGCACAAUGGGCGAAAGCCUGAUGCAGCGACGCCGCGUGAGGGAUGACGGCCUUCGGGUUGUAAACCUCUUUCAGUAGGGAAGAAGCGAAAGUGACGGUACCUGCAGAAGAAGCGCCGGCUAACUACGUGCCAGCAGCCGCGGUAAUACGUAGGGCGCAAGCGUUAUCCGGAUUUAUUGGGCGUAAAGAGCUCGUAGGCGGUUUGUCGCGUCUGCCGUGAAAGUCCGAGGCUCAACCUCGGAUCUGCGGUGGGUACGGGCAGACUAGAGUGAUGUAGGGGAGACUGGAAUUCCUGGUGUAGCGGUGAAAUGCGCAGAUAUCAGGAGGAACACCGAUGGCGAAGGCAGGUCUCUGGGCAUCUACUGACGCUGAGGAGCGAAAGCAUGGGGAGCGAACAGGAUUAGAUACCCUGGUAGUCCAUGCCGUAAACGUUGGGCACUAGGUGUGGGGAACAUUCCACGUUUUCCGCGCCGUAGCUAACGCAUUAAGUGUCCCGCCUGGGGAGUACGGCCGCAAGGCUAAAACUCAAGGAAUUGACGGGG